CGAACGUGGAGGAAUUAGUAUUUAGGUAUCAUAUCAUUGGAGUGACAUUUUCAAUACCCUACUGCCGAAAAUCAUCAUGGGACGGCCAUUUUUUUAUGAUAUAAAAAUAAUAAGCAAGGUGAUGAGCAAUACGAAGUCUUACCAUUACUAUUGACAAUUUACAGUAAAGAAAAUAUCACGUUCACCCCGUUAAGAUUGAAAAUGAUAGGAAGAAGAGAUCCAGCUUGUGCAUGUACUAAAUCACCGUAUAUGUCUCACUAUAGUGUCCAGUGGUAUCAUGGUUAGUGUCUUUGUAUCUUACUCAGAUGCCAGGAGUUUGCGCUUCCCUAAGGCGAUGUGAAAUCACUGGCUCUAUCACAGCCGGUUACUACUGCAGAGCGGGGUCUGCAGUGGUUGGAUUGGGGAACUUGGCUGAGGUUUGCCUGAGUGCAGUAAUGUGGUGAAGAACUGAGACCAAGCACCUUGCAACUUUCAAAUGGCCGAGUAACUUAGCAGAAUUUAAGCUGAAGGCACAUAGAGUAUGCUAUCAGUGAACAAAUCCAGAUUACCAGCCAACUUCCUUGAGGCAUAAGUGAACUCAAUGCAAUUUGUUUUACUUUACUGCACUGUAGUUCUAAAUCUUCAUAUUUACCAUAGGCUUUCAAGAAAUGAUUUACAUAAAACAUCUUGCAGAAGAACAAAUCACACACCACACACAAUGUAAUACAUGUAAUGUAUGUGUGUGUGUGUGUGUGCGUGUAGCACAUGCUGCUAGGAACCUCGCCCCUUGAAUUCUUGUUGAAAAUCAGAGGGGUAUUAAAUAAUAGUUGGUUAGUCAAAUUUAUUGGAUAGAAUAACAAUAUAAUGGCAAAUAUCUAGUAUGAUAGCAGUAUGAUUAUUGACAUUUUAAUUUAUCCAUAUAUAUAUACGAAUAUUGAUAUACUAAUUAGAUAUUAUUUAUCAUAACAUGGUACUUGUAUGAACAGAACUAAGUUCAUUUCAAACCUUAGUAGUAUGCAAUAUGAAAAGUAAUCUGUUAAGUUAUUUUUCUAAAUAGUCUGUGUAAUAAAACUUAUUGCGCAGUCAGCAGUA
This is a long non-coding RNA of Macrobrachium nipponense, 1071 nucleotides long. RefSeq lists it as uncharacterized. The record is from RefSeq and is a predicted model, not a curated record. NCBI's taxonomy places the organism in Eukaryota, Metazoa, Arthropoda, Malacostraca, Decapoda, Palaemonidae. The transcript is spliced from 2 exons.